UUUGCGUCCGAGAAGAUGGCUGCAGAGGCUCAGUGGAAGCACCCCAACCUAGAGAGGCUGGUCACCUGCCGCCACUGCCUGGGUCUAGCAUACCAGGGGAAUGCGCACGGCGAAGAGUGGAAGGUCUGAACCGGCUGGCCUAGUCCGAGGGGCUGGAACGGGCUGGUCGCCUAGGCGUGAUGCUUAGAAGCCUUCUGAUCAAACGCGACCCACGGGGCCCCAGGGAUGCAGAAGGGCGGCGUGAGAUGCUCUUGGAGCUCUGGCUCUCUGGAUCGGGUGAGCAGACUCCUCCUGAAACCAGAGGAAGAUCAGUCUCCCCUUCCUCACUAACACCCAAGUUAAGGAAUCCUGUUAAAGGAAGUUGCUAACCUAGGCUGACAAUACAGCCCAGCAGUGGUUUACUUAGUGCAAGCGCGAGAAACCAAACCGACGCUAAGAAAGAGCAGCCAGCAUCGUUGGCUGACAGAUCUAUAUAACCUGUCAACCUUCUGGAAUUGAAAAGCUGAAAUGUGAACACCUCUUCCCACUUCUGCAUUCUUUGGUCGUAAAUAAAACCUUCCUUUCUCCCCAA
Marmota flaviventris (yellow-bellied marmot) is the source of this 571-nucleotide long non-coding RNA. RefSeq lists it as uncharacterized. NCBI's taxonomy places the organism in Eukaryota, Metazoa, Chordata, Mammalia, Rodentia, Sciuridae. The record is from RefSeq and is a predicted model, not a curated record.